CUGGUAUAGCUGGUCAGGCAGGAUUCCCUGGACCAAUGGGUCCAAAAGGUGAUCGGGGGGAACCUGGACUACCAGGAGACUCUAUCAAGGGUCAAAAGGGUGAACCUGGCCUGAUCGUAGACUCCAGUGGUAGGCCCAGUUACAUUGGGGGGGCUGACUGGACAGCUGGUG
This is a long non-coding RNA of Sinocyclocheilus grahami, 171 nucleotides long. RefSeq lists it as uncharacterized. The record is from RefSeq and is a predicted model, not a curated record. NCBI's taxonomy places the organism in Eukaryota, Metazoa, Chordata, Actinopteri, Cypriniformes, Cyprinidae. The transcript is spliced from 3 exons.